Molecule: unclassified non-coding RNA, 353 nt
Filed under: soil metagenome
Description: partial contains 5.8S ribosomal RNA, internal transcribed spacer 2, and large subunit ribosomal RNA
Rfam family: 5.8S ribosomal RNA (bases 1-121)
Source: RNAcentral
GAUGAAGAACGCAGCGAAAUGCGAUAAGUAAUGCGAAUUGCAGAAUUUCCGUGAAUCAUCGAAUCUUUGAACGCACAUUGCGCCCGCCAGUAUUCUGGCGGGCAUGCCUGUUCGAGCGUCAUUACAACCCUCAGGCCCCCGGGCCUGGCGUUGGGGAUCGGCGGAGCCCCCCGUGGGCACACGCCGUCCCCCAAAUACAGUGGCGGUCCCGCCGCAGCUUCCAUCGCGUAGUAGCUAACACCUCGCGACUGGAGAGCGGCGCGGCCACGCCGUAAAACACCCAACUCUUCUGAAGUUGACCUCGAAUCAGGUAGGAAUACCCGCUGAACUUAAGCAUAUCAAUAAGCGGAGGA